GGUUGCUGAGUUACCGUGGUAAUCACUACCCAUAAUCCCAUGCGCUAGGAUGACGAUGACUCGGAAAUACCUCCCCGCCCACUUCCGGUACAAAUUCCUCCGUCCAAGGUGUGAUGGAAAAGGUCCCUUAGCCCACUUGAUUCUAGCAUCUACAUCCAGGCCAGGGUGUGAGCCUUAUCCUCCAGGAAUACACAGUGGUGAAGAAGACGCCCAGCUAUCCCCACGUGUCAGGAGGACAUAGGAGGACCCAGAGCCCCAUCCCGGUGCCUCCACCUCACUCACUGAUACAUGAGGGAGACAAUGACCAGAAGAUCCUGGAACUCACCAACAAGAUCAUUCAGCUGCUGACUGGAGAGGAGGGGGAGUAUAUAGAGGAACACAGGGGUCUGUACAAGGACGUGAUGAUGGAGAAUCACCGGCCCCUCACAUCACUGGAUGGGCCCAGUAACAGAGAUACCCCAGAGAGAUGUCCCUGUCCUCUGUAUUCCCAGGAUUGUACAGAGGAGAAUCACAGGAUCCCACAGGAGGAUC
Pseudophryne corroboree (corroboree frog) is the source of this 531-nucleotide long non-coding RNA. RefSeq lists it as uncharacterized. The record is from RefSeq and is a predicted model, not a curated record. Lineage: Eukaryota; Metazoa; Chordata; Amphibia; Anura; Myobatrachidae. The transcript is spliced from 4 exons.